Cryptotermes secundus is the source of this 3603-nucleotide long non-coding RNA. RefSeq lists it as uncharacterized. The transcript has 2 exons. The record is from RefSeq and is a predicted model, not a curated record. Lineage: Eukaryota; Metazoa; Arthropoda; Insecta; Blattodea; Kalotermitidae.
UAAUUUCCACAAAAUGUCCCUGGAUCUGAACAAUCCCCGCCCCUGGUUUACUUAAGUGACAGUAACAACAUCUUGUGUUCAACGGAUUCCAUUGUCCCAGCACACAUUGGUUUUGUCCUCAGCGGUCCUCAGUGUAUUAAGAGAUACGUAGGCAGAGGAGAGUGUUCGAAAAGGUAGCAGCCGAGGGAAUCAGUAAAACAGAACGGAAGGAAGUACUUUGAGAACUACUACCAAAGCAACAGAAGACCUUGGUUCCAGAGACUCAAGUUUCGAAGAAUAUCUGUCAUCGUAAUAAAUAGUACAAUAAAUGGUCAUUAUUGCUUAAAAGAGUACGCAAUUCGAUUUAAUAUCGUUAAUACAGAAAUGUUUGAAUGUGGCGAAACCAAAGGAACUAUAAACCACAUCUUACAGCAGUGUAAAUUAUUCGAGGUCAUAUGGUGGAUGACGAGAUGCAACAUAAAAUAUUUCCCCCGUAUUGUGAUGCAGCGAAGGAUCCUUGCCCUUUUAAUACAGUUUAAUUCAACCUGUAACGAUGUCAUAGCACUCCUUCAAAAUGGCUGCUAUGCUUGAUGUUCGACAAAAGAACGUGCUGUUACAGAGUUCUUGUGUUUUGAGAAUGGGACAGUGAGAAAUAUUCACAAGAGAUUGAAAAAUGUGUAUGGAGAUGAUGCUGUUGAUCGCAAUACAGUUAGUCGGCGAGCACACAGAUUAUCUGGUGAAAGUGAGCACGCCAAUAUUCGGGAAUCUCCUCGCACCGGUAGACCAAAUACUGCACAAACUCCUGACAAUGUGCAACGUGUUAAUGAUAUAUUUGGAGGACAGAUGUGUGACUGUGAAAGAAAUUUCAUCGAACUGGUAAUUGGGGAAGUAAGUGUGUGCAUAAUAUUGAAACAUUUGGGGUUGAAACACAUUUGUGCAAGGUGGGUUCCAAGGAUGUUGACAGAUGCCCACAAAGAAACCGGAAAAACUAUGUGCGGUGAACUCUUGGCACAGUAUGAGAAUGGCGAGAGACCAAGGACUGACUCCAUUCUUGUUCUCGUUCUGUGACUGACUUUAUUCUGUUCUGUACCCCUUAUACAUAUAUUAUCGAUAUGGACCACACAGAAAACACCGUCUCUCAACAAUUCGUAGGGGCUUUUACAGCUCCGUUGCCAAGAAAUGGACGUCUGGUGUUCCACACGUUUGCUUCUGCGGAAAUCUGUUUAGCAACCAGUUGCCUAGGUAUGGACAUGGCGUGGACCACAUUGAAAACAUUUCUUGCAAUACCUUUUCUAUUAUUGCAUUUGUGUAUUUCGGGUGCUGCCUAGAAAUGGGUCUACAUGUCACAAUAUAUAACGUCAUUACGUUUCACUAAAAACAAUUGCUCCUAUAUAUAAACACUGGCCAAUGUAGGAAUACUAGCAAGUGAAUACAGGUGAAUGUAAAACGUCAUAUACAAGUACAUGAUGUAAGAAGUGACGAAUGUAUGGUGUAUUCAUACUUCCUGUUGUGGUGACAGAAUAAAGUGAAGAAAAUUUUAUACACACAACAUGAUGUUAAAUGUAAUAUUUCUAAGAGAAACUGAAUUUUAUGACAAAAUUCUGACCACAGGGAUGACUGCUUAUUAUUUCAUCAUGAGCAUAUCUCCUCAUAUGAAGCCAGAUUCGCAUACAGUAAGGUGUACAUUAGAAUAGUAUAGCAGGUUUUCUUAAAUGAGGGAGAAUAACAGAGGCAGUCCAGUUCGGAAUCCUCUUGUCUAUGUGAAUAACCAUCACUGGAUUACACAGGACUUGCUAUUAAUAUAUAGCCACAACAUGCAUUGUAACUUUUUCCAUACAUUCAAAUUAUGCAUUAUUAUUUUCAACAUUGAAAAUGUUAUUAUUUGCGGGUGCAAAUGGAAUUAAACCGUUAGUAACAGAAAGUGUAAAAAUUUUCCGUAAGUAACAAUAUGUAGCAGUUUGUAAUUAUUGGUACCUUCGCUGCUAAGUAACCAAAGAUCUGUUUAUGACUUCGUUACCAUGGAAAUGUGCACAGCGAAGCAUGUAGAAGAAUCUGGACUUAUUGCGAGUGAGAUACAUUAAUGAAUGUGAGCUAUACGGCUAAUUCAAUUCCACUCUUUAGUAGAUGACGCAAUACUAUAGGCAAUCUGCCAGCAUAUGACGCCGGCAAUUGUCGUGCUGCAUAUAUGAGAGAGUACAGAAAAAGGGAGCAGUUAGAAGAUAAUUGUAAUAAUGUACCCAAACAAACAGAGUUAAAUGCCAAAUGACAGCAUGAAUAUUGAGAAACGCCUAACAUAUCUGCCGUAUUGUAACACACUAUGGAUUACUAUAACUAUAGCACACAAAAUAAAAUCUUCAAUGUCUACUUGCUAGUCAUUGCUCGAUAACAGAUCUUACCUGGUUAAUAUUUCACAACUGAAUAUUCGAUUACUGAACUAUUUUCUGAAUUCUAUUAUGAAUGAAUGUAUAGAACAACAACAAGUAACAGAAUUGUACACUGAAUUUAUUACCAGCAUCCCAUAUUUUAAGACAAGUGACUGAGUUGUUUUGGUUUGUCACCUGACCAUUCUUCUUUUUCUCCUCCUUUUCCUCCUCGGUGUUGUUGUUCUUGUUGCUCCCACUUGGGCAUCCGUGAAGUGCUUCAGUUUCUUAAUCUAAGCAGUUAGCAGGACUCCUUGCAUGGGGGAUCAGCCCAUUGUAAGGUCACUACCUAAUACAGACACAGAAUAAACACAAAAGGUUUCCACACCUUGAGUGGGAUUCGAACCCAUGAUCCCCGUGUUUGAAUGGGCAAAGACAUUUUAUGCCUUAGGCUGCAUGGCUGUCUGACCAUUAGAUGUGCUAUAUCUUGUAGUACCGUACUAAUUGUACAUUGUACUCUAGUAAAACCCUCAAAUUGUAAGACACCAAUUUGUGAACUGUGUUCUACAGUGCUAAAACUUAACCAGUUUUCCAACAGCCAGAAAAUUUUCUCCUUAACUUAUGUUUAAGCCUUUUUAUUUUUACAGAUAGCUCUGGAGCAUUCAGGGCACAGGAAUAAUAAAAAACUUUUUAUUUUUUAUUAUCAUUUGAUAGACCAACUUAUAUUCUUCAAUUUAAUUUAAUGUUUCAAAUCUAUGGAGGAGGUAAAGGCAAAUGACUGGUUUCCUUCCUGCUGGCACCAAUAGCUGGAAGAUUUUGAAUGAAAUAUAUGUUCCUAUCAUGCAAUUUUUUAUUGAACCUCAUAUUUCUGUUCACUGCUCAAAAUUGGACCUAUAUAAAACAUUAUUUUCCACUCCAAUUUUUAAGCAAUUUUUAACAUUAUAAAUACCACAAGUUUUUAUAUAUUAAAUAUUUAAAUAUUUAUCACAUUCAUGGAAGAUAUGAAAAAUCUCUUUAAUGAUAUUAACUUAUCAAAUACAUAGAAAGCAACUAUUUGAGAGACAGAUAACCACAGAUUAGCAAUUUUUUAAAUCAGAAUAAAGUUACUUACAAUUCCAGGAGGUGAAUUGUGAAAAAUGGAGGUUGAGACAUUAACUGAAAUCUAGAAUUACAGCACUGAUAACUAGAAAAGGGUGUAGGUUAUAGACUGUGAAUGGAACCAUUUCAUACCAAAACUACUAGUACCAAUAAACUAAAAAAAAAA